RNAcentral lists this ribosomal RNA (1549 nucleotides) under Triticum aestivum (bread wheat). Its description in RNAcentral is "partial small subunit ribosomal RNA". The record is from RNAcentral. Lineage: Eukaryota; Viridiplantae; Streptophyta; Magnoliopsida; Poales; Poaceae.
UACGGGGAGACACGAGCGCGCGAGACGAAUUACCACGAGCGCGGGAGGUUAGGCCGCGGGCGGACGGCGCCGAGCUGUCGCAAGGCGGGGGUGCCCCGGGUGGUGGAGGAGGAGGGGGUGCAGCCGGCGGAGGAGCGGACGGCGCGCGGCGGGGACGGGGCGUGGUGGCGGGCGGAGGCGGGCGAGGCCUACAGCCGGAGGUUGGUGAGGCCGCGGCCGCGGUCGAGGGGGAGGCGGGGGAGCGGCGGGGGCCGGGAGCGCCACUCAGACUACGUAGGAGGAGGAGGAGUGCGCAGGCAGGCAUACUACAGAAUGGCACGGCCGUAGCUACCACAGCCUCGACUCUACGACCCCGGCAUGUUAUCAACGGCACCUACCUACCUUGUGGAUCACGCAACUGAAUCGUUGACCGGCUACCCUUCCCUACGGACGGAAUCGUUGAGGUUCGAUGCUUGGACGGAGUACCCUCGCGGAUGGCCUUCGAGCGCGCGGUCCGGCGGUGACGGUGUGGUCGGCGGCGGCGGCAUCGGGGCUGGUACAGCAGAAACAGGAAGGGGCAGGGACGACAGCUACCACUCCUACUGCUACUCUUGCAGCUGCUCAAGUUGCCGAAGCUGCGUGACUCGCUCAUACUACGGUCGCACUGCCUCUAGCUGCUCCUCCUACUUUUCCGGGAGCGACGUAAGUACAGGUUCCUUUGGAGGAGGUUUGCUAGCGAACCACUAUAGUAGGAGGUCUUCUAGUCUCUCUUCCUGCGGUGACAGAGUUGUACGAAAGAGGCACUAAUUAUAUUUAAUACGUUCCUAGUCUCCUAUACAACUACGAUGAUGGUUAGUAACAACCACUUUCUUUACAGUAAACUCUUUAGAGCCGGGUAACAAGAAGAAUUACUUCUAAGAAUGGUUGAAAUAGGAAAGGACACAGAGUUUUGACAGUUGGAUCGAGUAUCUUGCUAGAAAAAAAUCCUACGUACCAAAAAAAAGACCAAUAAUAUGUAAUGUUGCUCAAGUAACAUAAGUCUAAGGAAUGUUGAAGUACGUGGACUCGAUAAACGUCCUCCCCUCGACCGGAAGAAGUGCAGAGCCCCCUCACAGAAGGAACCUAAGUUGUUCUUCCCCUGGGCCGGAAGAAGUACAGAGCACGUUGUUCCCACUAGCUGCGCCUGAUGGUGUCGGGCCACCCACAGCACGAGAAGUUGGUGAUCCUCCGCCUGAAGCGGAACUUCGGGCCUCUGCCACAGCACGUCUACUGGUAGGUCCACUAACGCUUAACGCUGUGGCCUCCAGCGGCUUCACCUCCUGGAGCUGCGGUGGCAGGCCGCCCUCCCUCCCAAGCCCAGGUGGCCAUCAACUUGAGGCUCAGAACCAUCUAUGUAGAUCUGUUCACCAGACCAACAAACGCAAACCACAAUUUACCCUAGAGCACUUGAGAUGACUCAACUCUACAACUUACAACGCAGGUACUUGCGACGUUCACGAUUCUAACCAAGACACUAGAAUCAAAUAAAACGUAACCUGUACAGAUCUAAAGGUAGGUGCUUAUGUCGUAG